This 321-nucleotide small RNA is filed under the name Acanthamoeba polyphaga mimivirus. Its description in RNAcentral is "uncharacterized ncRNA". Lineage: Varidnaviria; Bamfordvirae; Nucleocytoviricota; Megaviricetes; Imitervirales; Mimiviridae. The record is from RNAcentral.
UUCCACACAUGAUUAACUAAGUACUGCACCUAGACUUACCAAGUAUUCUACAACAUCAAGAUGUCCAUUUCGAGAAGCCCAUCUAACUGCACAAUCGUUAUCAGCUCUAAUAUUUGCACCUAGACUUACUAGAUAUUUGACGACUUCAAGAUGCCCAUUUCGAGAAGCAAAUCUAACUGCACAAUCGUUAUCUGCUCUAAUAUUAGCACCUUGACUUACCAGAUAUUUGACAACUUCAAUGUAUACUUUUAUGGAAGUCGGUCUAACUACAUAAUUAUUGUCGACACUGAUAUUUGUGCCUUUACUUACCAAAAUUAAUUU